RNAcentral lists this ribosomal RNA (484 nucleotides) under uncultured bacterium. Its description in RNAcentral is "partial 16S ribosomal RNA". It matches the Rfam family "Bacterial small subunit ribosomal RNA", at positions 29 to 507 of the family's 1533-position model. The record is from RNAcentral.
AGUGAACGCUGGCGGCAGGCCUAACACAUGCAAGUCGAGCGGCAGCGCGGGGGCAACCCUGGCGGCGAGCGGCGGACGGGUGAGGAAUUCGUCGGAAUCUGCCUUUUUGUGGGGGAUAACGUAGGGAAACUUACGCUAAUACCGCAUACGUCCUACGGGAGAAAGUGGGGGACCGCAAGGCCUCACGCAGAAAGAUGAGCCGACGACCGAUUAGCUAGUUGGUGGGGUAAAGGCCCACCAAGGCGACGAUCGGUAGCUGGUCUGAGAGGAUGAUCAGCCACACUGGGACUGAGACACGGCCCAGACUCCUACGGGAGGCAGCAGUGGGGAAUAUUGGACAAUGGGCGAAAGCCUGAUCCAGCCAUGCCGCGUGUGUGAAGAAGGCCUUCGGGUUGUAAAGCACUUUUGUUCGGAAAGAAAGCCCGGGAGCUAAUACCUUCGGGGGAUGACGGUACCAGAAGAAUAAGCACCGGCUAACUUCGUG